GGAGCUGUGGCUCAGUGGUAGAGUGCUUGCCUAGCAUGUGAAGCACUGGGUUUGAUUCUCAGCACUCCA
RNAcentral lists this transfer RNA (69 nucleotides) under Marmota monax (woodchuck). It matches the Rfam family "tRNA". From Rfam's summary of the family: Transfer RNA (tRNA) molecules are approximately 80 nucleotides in length. Their secondary structure includes four short double-helical elements and three loops (D, anti-codon, and T loops). The record is from Rfam by way of RNAcentral. Lineage: Eukaryota; Metazoa; Chordata; Mammalia; Rodentia; Sciuridae.